AGUGAACGCUGGCGGUAGGCCUAACACAUGCAAGUCGAACGGCAGCACAGUAAGAGCUUGCUCUUACGGGUGGCGAGUGGCGGACGGGUGAGGAAUACAUCGGAAUCUACUUUUUCGUGGGGGAUAACGUAGGGAAACUUACGCUAAUACCGCAUACGACCUACGGGUGAAAGCAGGGGAUCUUCGGACCUUGCGCGAUUGAAUGAGCCGAUGUCGGAUUAGCUAGUUGGCGGGGUAAAGGCCCACCAAGGCGACGAUCCGUAGCUGGUCUGAGAGGAUGAGCCGCCACACUGGAACUGAGACACGGUCCAGACUCCUACGGGAGGCAGCGGUGGGGAAUAUUGGACGAUGGGCGCAAGCCUGAUACAGCCAUACCGCGUGGGUGAAGAAGGACUUCGGGUUGUAAAGCCCUUUUGUUGGGAAAGAAAAGCAGCAGGUUAAUACCCCGCUGUUCUGACGGUACCCAAAGAAUAAGCACCGGCUAACUUCGUG
RNAcentral lists this ribosomal RNA (492 nucleotides) under uncultured bacterium. Its description in RNAcentral is "partial 16S ribosomal RNA". It matches the Rfam family "Bacterial small subunit ribosomal RNA", at positions 29 to 507 of the family's 1533-position model. The record is from RNAcentral.